ACCCUCUCGCCCACCACACGCGGAGCCCGCUGGAUCCUCUCCACAUCCAGGCCGUGUCCACCGGCUUUCCAACCUGCUCACGUCCUUAAAGAAGGAUCCAGAAGGUGUUGCGGUAUUGGCCCAUCAGGAUCUGAACCUGAGGCCCGCUCUUACCCUAAUCAUAACCCCAAAGCCACCAGCGCGUGGAGAGACAGUGAGAGAGAAACAGAGACGGAGAGAGUGUGUGUCGCUGUCAUGCCCUUUGCCGUCGCUGCUCAUCCCGAGUGACCUCCUGGAACUUUUUCAGCUCUUGAUGACAGGAAGAGACGGGGGCAGAGCUAACGUCUGAGUCAGGGCACAGGCGCUGGGCUCCAUCCAAGGGAGGCCAUGCGGGCGCCUCUGGGAUGGAGCCAAUCACCGGCGCAGUCGGAUGGAAGGUGGGCUGGCCGCUCAGCCAUCCUCCUAGGGCAAGGUCUUGGGUAUGAGUCAGCAGCCCCAGGUGUGAGCGCAGACCCGGUAACCCCGGCGCAGGGGAAAAUACAGCGGGGAGCCCCAGGCUGCAGGCCUGACCCUGAGCAGCCCCUACCGAGCCCAGUGUGGAUGGGCUCUGUCUCCACAGGGCUGGUUCACCAGGGUCUCCCCGCAGCGACCCCAGAAUUCUGCAAAUCACUUGGGUAGGGCAAUGAGCUCUAUCCACUUCGGAAUCAGCCAACUCGCGCCGGAUUGGAGGCAGAUGUCUGAAAUGUCAGCGGAAGUGCACACAUGGGAGGCUCGUUGGUCUAGGGGUAUGAUUCUCGCUUCGGGUGCGAGAGGUCCCGGGUUCAAAUCCCGGACGAGCCCUAGAAGUGGUUACUUUCCCCUCGUCAUUUUGGAGAAUAUAGAGCUUGAAAAUCGGGGACCGAGCCUGAAGCCUCAUCCACCAGUCGCGUUGCUCUGCUUCAGGUAGGUCCGGGUCUGUGCCUCAGCUGCAAGGGACCAGGAUGCUCCCGAGGCUGGCCUGGUAGGCACUUGCCUCAGCCUCGCUGGAGCCCCGCGCCCUUCUCCUUCCCAGCCCCAGACCAGAGAAGCUGUACCCUCUGCAGCCCGGGUCACUCAGCUCCACAUGGGCUCCGGGUAUGUGGGAGGCCAGUGGUUGGGUUCUGAGUGAUCGUGUGGGGUGCACGAUCCGGGCGGGCCCUGGAGAGUUAUUCAUUCCUCGACCUCCCCUCCUUGCCCUAGAAACCCACAUCUCUGCAGGCCAAGGCGGAGUCACAGACGAAGCUCAUUGAGAGCAGGUCAAAGCUGUGUGACCCGAUGGCCCCCUACUGCGCUGGCCGGGAAGGUAGCCAGAGCCACAUAUGGCUCUUAAACACCUGAAAUAUGACUGGUCCACUUGAGAUGUGCUGCUGGCUCGGACCCUGGGCCUGGCUAACAAAGAAACAAGCAGCCAUGACUCAGCGAUCCCAGACCACAAACUGCCCCAGCAAGCAGGAAGCCCCGAGGCCUGUUUGAGGUGGCAGAGAAGGGGAUGUGGUUCCUUGGCCACCGCGGCUCAGGUGAGUUGCCCACAGUCCUGGGAUUCGAGCCCCACUCCUGCCCUCCGUUUCCUCAGGUCGUAACUCUAGAACUUUGGCUGGUCUAGGGAACUCAGCCCCAGAAUCGGGAGUCCUUACUGACAUAGGAGAUGUUGGAAAUCGGAGAAGGCCUGAUAGGAGCAGCCGAGUCACCUAAUGCCUCGGAUCCAGGAGCCUAGCUGACAACGCAAACCCUCUAGGUGUUUGAUAUUGUGAUUCACCAGAGCAGGAAGAAGUAAAAAACCAGAAAGCCCAGGUGGAAGGCCCAGUGCUGGGGCUGAACGUGAGGGGUCACCCCAUACACACUCCCCUCUGGCUGCUGGAAAAACCUGCUGAGGUUAGAGCUGCCCUCAGCCCCGCCCACUUUUUCUUUUCUUUUCUUCUUUAAAGUGCUGGUUUCCUGUCCGGAUCGCCUUCCCCCGGGCGGCAAGGCCCGACCAGCACGGCACCAUAACAGCCUGCCCCAGUCUGGCUAGCUAGGUGGGUCGAGAUGAGACUCCAUCCUCUCACUCCCCACUCUCAGGAAUGUGGCUUGAUCCCUCUCAGGCAUCUCCCUUAUACCUUGGACGUAGGCUUUGAGGAGCGCCCCCUCCUGGCUGAACUCUGGGGUCCUGGAAGAAAUAGGACCUCAGCGUGGAGUGAGAACAGAAGAGCCAGGAAAAACAGAGUCCACGGGGCGCCUGAAGCCGUCGCCCCCACAGCCUUGCUAAGAAGGAGACUCGAACCUGGGGAGAUGCACGUGCUGAGGGCUCCGGGGGCAUUUUUUUUUUUAAUUUUUAUUUUUUCUGAGACAGGGUCUUGCCCUGUUGCCGAAGCUGGAGUGCGAUGGUGCAAUCAGCUCACUGCAGCCUCAACCUCCCAAACUCAAGGGAUCCUCCCACCUCAGCUUCCCGAGUAACUGGGACUCCAGGCGCGCGCCACCACGCGCGGCUAAUUUUUAAAUUGUUAUAUUUUGUAGAGACGGGGGGCUCACUAUGUUGCCCAGGCUAGUCCCCAACCCCUGGGCUCAAGCGAUCCUACCCCCUCGGCCUUCCAAAGUGCUGGGAUCACAGGCGUGAGCCACCGAACCCGGCUAGAGGAUUCUUCUGCAGCCCAACAGCGGCGGCAAAAGCUAAGGGUCCUAGAAAGGAACGGGAAACCGUCACCUGCCCAGGUGGGACGCGAGGCACGGAACCCAGCGCGGGAGGCCGCUGGGUCACGGAGGUUUCCUGUCUGCUUCCCGCCGUCACUGCGGGCCGCCUCCCACCUUCUCCCGGCCCCCUGCACCCCAGCCCAGCCCAGCCCACCUACCCCUGGUGGGGACACAGUUUUCUUCCCGGGGCGCCUCGCAGCUCCUGCAGUCCCUCCCUCUUCCCCACCCCCACCCCCACACUUUGGGCAGGAGUCACAACAAUUUCUUGCCCCAGUUUGGCCGCUCCGGCUCUGUGCCACACCCUCCAACGGGGCUGGAUGCCCAGGGUCUGCUGCCUCCAUGGGAUCUGGCUAGGCUCGAAGUUGGGGCUCAGCAAAGGUAUUUCGCGUGAAUGAGGAAUCCACAGGUCAGACCCGCUUCUACGGCCCUGAGUCGGGGCGGGUGCCUGGGCCAGGCACCCUGGCACUCAAGAGGUGCCAGGCUGGGGGCGUCCGCGGGUGGGCCUCUGACGCAGAGAAGGACCCGGAUCCAGCCACCGUCGGAGGCCUCCGGCUGCGCCUCGCCUUUGGGGCAGGCCUGAGGGCAACGCUUACUGCGCAGCAACUGUGUUCUACAGUGUAGUCCCGACACCGACGGCUCAUGGUCCUGGACUCUGCUUUAAUCUAGAAAUCCACUAAAGUAACAUCAGUGUGUUGCCCGGCUAGCUCAGUCGGUAGAGCAUGAGACUCUUAAUCUCAGGGUCGUGGGUUCGAGCCCCACGUUGGGCGCUGCGUUUUACUGCGAGCAUCACCACAAGGAUAGCAUUGUGAGUUUCUGUUCCAGCUGGGUCGAUUUUCUUCUCUCAGCCAUCUGCCCCUGGCGAUGCAAGACUUGGUGAAAGCAGCUGCCUGCUCAUCCCAGGAAACCAUCCGGGGUUCCUGAGCUGGGGGGCGUUUACUCCAAGUAUCGCUGUCGACCCCUUAUGGGGGCCCAUGGACGCGGUUCCCACCUGGAAGACCCGGAGAACAGCGGUUCCUUGCUCUUGUUAGCAGCGGCUGUGAGGAAGCUGCCCACUAAGGUUUUCCUCUUCUGGGACCACAGCAAGACUGUGCCCCAUUAAAAGAAGAAAGUCUGAGAACGUGGGUUUGUCCAGGAUUGGACUCUCUUGCACCCUAAGGAACAAUCACAGCCUAGACCAAGGAGCCACCCACAAAACCUUUCUCCACCCAUCUCUGGCCGUCCUUAUGCCCGGCUCCAUCCUUGUCCAGCAACACUGCUCAGACGCUGAUCCCCAGGGGGUCGUGUCGUCAUGUCAGGGGGUUUGACUAGGGUCCCAUCGAGUACAGAGGGAUGGGGAUCCCAAUGUUCACCAGUUUGGGAGUCCCAGUGUCUAGCUUCCCUGUCUCCCCCCCAGAUUAAAGGCCUCCCGCCCAGGGAGGUGGGUGCCUGAUUCUCCCAGAGGUGCCCAGUGCAGUCAGAGGGAGCGGGUCUUUGGGAGGCCAGGCUCUAAUCUCCCCAGUUGCCUGGCCUCCCUCCACCCUGAAACCACAGGAUUUCACAGGAUCUCUCCUGUGAAAUCUAGGGCAGGGGGUGCCUGCAUGCAGAGUUCUGAGGCUGGUGAUGGAGUGGUCAGAGAAUGGGAUGUUUGGCCGGGCGCAGUGACUCACUCCUGUAAUCCCAGCACUUUGCGAGGCCAAGGCGGGCGGAUCACGAGGUCAGGAGAUCAAGACCAUCCUGGCUAAUACGGUGAAACUCCAUCUCUACUAAAAAUACAAAAAAAUUACCCGGGCGUGGUGGCAGGCGCCUGUAGUCCCAGCUACUCAGGAGGCUGAGGCAGGAGAAUGGCGUGAACCC
Molecule: long non-coding RNA, 4497 nt
Organism: Symphalangus syndactylus (siamang)
Lineage: Eukaryota; Metazoa; Chordata; Mammalia; Primates; Hylobatidae
Source: RefSeq, a predicted model, not a curated record